This 341-nucleotide unclassified non-coding RNA is filed under the name plant metagenome. RNAcentral's name for it is "partial contains 5.8S ribosomal RNA, internal transcribed spacer 2, and large subunit ribosomal RNA". The record is from RNAcentral.
GGUCUAGGCGCCUUUCGCAGACGCCGACUCGCGGCGAGCCGCAAGCUCGAGAAGGCUGUCGCCCGGCUCGAGAGGAGCCGCCAGGCCGAACUCGAGCUCUCGUCGCAGCUACGGAGGAUAGAGGCGGAGGCCGUAGCUGCCCGCGAGUACCGGGAGCUCGAAACCCGCUACCGCGAGCUCUCUUUGGCUUACCUCUACGGAAUCGCGAAAGGAGACCUCGGCGGCGAACGAGAACGCCUAAAGGAGCUUGAAGAAGUGGCGAGCAAGCUGCGGGCGAGGCAGGACGCUUUGCGCGAUGAAGAGAAGCAGCUCAGGGCGGAAGAGAAGGAGCUCGAAGGCCG